This 772-nucleotide long non-coding RNA is filed under the name Bos indicus x Bos taurus (hybrid cattle). Its description in RNAcentral is "lncRNA (ENSBIXG00000029831.1)". The record is from RNAcentral. Lineage: Eukaryota; Metazoa; Chordata; Mammalia; Artiodactyla; Bovidae.
CUUCCCGGAACGCCCAGAGCGGCUCCAUGCCAUCAAGGAGCAACUGAUCCAGGAGGGCCUCCUGGACCGCUGCUGGUGUCCUACCAGGCCCGAUUCGCUGAAAAGGAGGAGCUGAUGUUGGUUCACAGCCUAGAAUAUAUUGAUCUGAUGGAAACGACCCAGUACAUGAACGAGGAGGAGCUCACGUCCCUAGCAGAUACCUAUGACUCAGUUAUCUGCAUCCGGUAUGGAUGGGAACUGUGAGGGCAGAGGUGGUGGCCAUCCUGGGAUUCCCCAUUCCCACAUCCAUACCACUCUGGAGGGAGUAGCUGAGGGACAUGGCCACUCUCAUCCUCUCCCUCAUUCCCCUCUCUGACUCCCCACUGUCUUCUCCAGAACUCAUACACCUGUGCCUGCCUGGCCUCAGGCUCUGUCCUCAGGCUGGUGAUGCAGUCCUGGAGGCUGAGAUCCGGAAUGGCCAUGGCCAUCAUCAGGCCUCCUGGACACCACGCCCAGCACAGUCUCAUGGAUGGAUAUUGCAUGUUCACCACGUGGCCGUGGCUGCCCGUUACGCUCAACAGAAGCAUGAUUAUUCAGAGGUCAGCAGCAAGCAGCAGGGCGGGUGUAAUGAGGGUGAUAUGAGGUGGGGUGUCCUGGUCUGGGCACUUCUUCCCAGUGUUCUUGCUCUUCUUACAUAGUGGCCCCCCCUUCUCUCCCACUCACAGGGUCCUUAUUGUGGAUUGGGAUGUGCACCAUGGUCAGGGAUACAGUUCGCCUUUGACCAAGAUCCUAG